This is a long non-coding RNA of Sipha flava (yellow sugarcane aphid), 480 nucleotides long. RefSeq lists it as uncharacterized. Lineage: Eukaryota; Metazoa; Arthropoda; Insecta; Hemiptera; Aphididae. The transcript has 3 exons. The record is from RefSeq and is a predicted model, not a curated record.
GCCAAUCAGAACAAAUAUUUUAUCAUGACACAAGGAAAUGUUCAAUUCAUAACUGGUUUAUAUGGUAUUUGUUAAUCGUCUUUUUUCAAUAAGUGCACUUGGAGUUUGUGAUAAGGUUAAAGAAAACACGUCACGUGAUAAAGAAACAGCUGCUUUUACAUUUAUAUUCAUUAAUGCAACUCAUUGAGAAAAUGGCGGGAAGAGUUAAGAAUUUAGUUAAAAAUAUAUUAUUGCUAACACGAACUAUCAAUUAUAAUCAUAGUUCGUGAUUGCUAAUAAAUAAUCACUGCAACUACACUAUACUGUACAGUUUUUGUACACUGCUCUUAUUUUGAUACUAUACUAGGGCAACAUUUGAACCAAGUGCUACACAAAAAUAAUAUAUUUAUUUUUUUUUAAUUUUCAACAGCUCUUGUGAAAAUGUCAAGUUAACAUUUUAGGUAGUUAAACGUUUGUGUAAAAUAUUAAUGUAAUCGAACU